Molecule: long non-coding RNA, 1568 nt
Filed under: Malus domestica (apple)
Lineage: Eukaryota; Viridiplantae; Streptophyta; Magnoliopsida; Rosales; Rosaceae
Description: long non-coding RNA (MDOM_LNC001160)
Source: RNAcentral
AAGUUAUGGAGGAGCUAUCAGAGCUUCAUUUAGAUGGGAUUGCAAUUAAAGAACUGCCUUCGUCAAUUAAUAAACUCACGGGCCUUACUGUUUUGGACCUAUCUGGGUGUCAAGAACUCAAGAGCCUGCCGAGCAGCAUUCAUAUGAGAUCUCUUCAAACCCUUAAUCUUUCUGGUUGCUCAAACCUUGAGAAGUUUCCUGAGAUUUCAGAUGUUAUGGAGAAGCUAUCAGAGUUAUAUUUAGGUGGGACUGCAAUUAAAGAACUGUCUUCGUCAAUUAAUAAACUCACGGGUCUUCCUGCUUUGGACCUACGUGGCUGUCAAGAACUCAAGAGCCUGCCGAGGAGCAUUCAUAUGAGAUCUCUUCAAACCCUUAAUCUUUCUGGUUGCUCAAACCUUGAGAAGUUUCCUGAGAUUUCAGAUGUUAUGGAGAAGUUAUCAGAGUUAUAUUUAGGUGGGACUGCAAUUAAAGAACUGUCUUCAUCAAUUAAUAAACUCACGGGCCUUGCUACUUUGGACCUACGAGGCUGUCGAGAACUCAAGAGCCUGCCGAGCAGCAUUCAUAUGGGAUCUCUUCAAACCCUUAAUCUUUCUGGUUGCUCAAACCUUGGGAAGUUUACAGAAAUUUCAGAUGUUAUGGAGAAGCUAUCAGAGUUAUAUUUAGCUGGGACUGCAAUUAAAGAACUGUCUUCGUCAAUUAAUAAACUCACGGGCCUUACUGUUUUGGACCUAUCUGGGUGUCAAGAACUCAAGAGCCUGCCGAGCAGCAUUCAUAUGAGAUCUCUUCAAACCCUUAAUCUUUCUGGUUGCUCAAACCUUGAGAAGUUUCCAGAGAUUUCAGAUGUUAUGGAGAAGCUAUCAGAGUUAUAUUUAGAUGGGACUGCAAUUAAAGAACUGCCUUCGUCAAUUAAUAAACUCACGGGCCUUACUGUUUUGGACCUAUAUGGGUGUCAAGAACUCAAGAGCUUGCCGAGCAGCAUUCGUGUGGGAUCUCUUCAUACCCUUUUUCUUUCAGGCUGCUCAAAACUUGAGAAGUUUCAUGAGAUUUCAGAUGUUGUGGAGGAGCUAUCAGAGCUUCAUUUAGAUGGGACUGCAAUUAAAGAAUUGCCUUCGUCAAUUAAUAAACUCACAGGUCUUCUUACUUUGGACCUACGAGGCUGUCGAGAACUCAAGAGCCUGCCGAGCAGCAUUCAUAUGGGAUCUCUUCAAACUCUUAAUCUUUCUGGUUGCUCAAACCUUGAGAAGUUUACAGAGAUUUCAGAUGUUAUGGAGAAGCUAUCAGAGUUAUAUUUAGCUGGGACUGCAAUUAAAGAACUGUCUUCGUCAAUUAAUAAACUCACGGGCCUUAUUACUUUGGACCUGAAAGGUUGUCGAGAACUCAAGAGCCUGCCGAGCAGCUUUCAUAUGGGAUCUCUUCAAACCCUUAAUCUUUCUGGUUGCUCAAACCUUGAGAAGUUUCCAGAGAUUUCAGAUGUUAUGGAGAAGCUAUCAGAGUUAUAUUUAGAUGGGACUGCAAUUAAAGAACUGCCUUCGUCAAUUAAUAAACUCACGGGCCUUACUGUUUUGGAC